GGGUGACCCUCAGACUCAGCCAAAUGAAAAUAGUCAGGUGGAGGCUGGAGACCAAGAGGACUUUCACCGACUGAAGGAUGUGUCGGUGCCGAAGUAGAGGGAGCUCGUCACCGAGCAAGCUCUGUACGAUGCCGGCCUGAGUUUGGUUCCCUGUUUAGGUACAGUUCAGUCUGUCGGUCAUUUUUUAUCUUUUUAUCCGUCUUCGAUCUUAUGCUAAUCUUUUGUUAAAAUUACAGGCAUGCCGUCGAGAGUGAGAUUAACAGAUGCCGACA
RNAcentral lists this long non-coding RNA (272 nucleotides) under Elaeis guineensis (African oil palm). Its description in RNAcentral is "long non-coding RNA (EGUI_LNC065929)". The record is from RNAcentral. Lineage: Eukaryota; Viridiplantae; Streptophyta; Magnoliopsida; Arecales; Arecaceae.